GUGCCAGCCGCCGCGGUAAGACGAACCGUGCGAACGUUAUUCGGAAUUACUGGGCUUAAAGCGCGUGUAGGCGGGCCCGCGCGUCGAGUGCUGAAAGCCCCCGGCUCAACCGGGGAAGUGGCCUCGAAACGGCGGGCCUGGAGGGGGGUAGGGGGAGCCGGAACUCACGGUGGAGCGGUGAAAUGCGUUGAGAUCGUGAGGAACGCCCGUGGCGAAAGCGGGCUCCUGGACCUCGCCUGACGCUGAGACGCGAAAGCCAGGGGAGCGAACGGGAUUAGAAACCCUCGUAGUCC
Molecule: ribosomal RNA, 293 nt
Filed under: uncultured bacterium
Lineage: Bacteria
Description: partial 16S ribosomal RNA
Rfam family: Bacterial small subunit ribosomal RNA
Source: RNAcentral